RNAcentral lists this non-coding RNA (30 nucleotides) under Cricetulus griseus (Chinese hamster). The record is from RNAcentral. Lineage: Eukaryota; Metazoa; Chordata; Mammalia; Rodentia; Cricetidae.
GUAUACAGUUCUGGGUGUGGGAAUAUCUGC